RNAcentral lists this ribosomal RNA (107 nucleotides) under Danio rerio (zebrafish). The record is from RNAcentral. Lineage: Eukaryota; Metazoa; Chordata; Actinopteri; Cypriniformes; Danionidae.
CGCCACAGCCAUAUCACCCUGCACCCCAAGACCGGUUACCCACUGAAGCUGAGCCUGGUCAGUACCUGGAUGGGAGACCACUAGGGAACACUAGGUUGCUGUUGGAA